Long non-coding RNA from Manis pentadactyla (Chinese pangolin), 5127 nucleotides. RefSeq lists it as uncharacterized. The record is from RefSeq and is a predicted model, not a curated record. The transcript has 4 exons. Lineage: Eukaryota; Metazoa; Chordata; Mammalia; Pholidota; Manidae.
GGCGCCUCUGCCCCAUCUGGGGGACAACAGUGCAUUUGUAGGACAUUUGUCCCAAGUUAGGAAAUCAUGUGAAGGCCUUGAGCUGGGUAGAAACAGAACCCCUGACCCCAGCCUCAGUAGUAGGGUCACCUCACCGCAGCCAAGCUAUUUCUGGAGGGAGGCUGAUAAUUUUUGUUUUCUGGAAGGCUUUUGAUGACCAAGUGUGAUGUUUAAUUUUGUGUGUCAACUUAACUGGGCCAAAGAAUGCCCAGAUAUUUUGUCAAACAUUAUUCUGGAUAUUUCUGUGUGGAUGCUUUGUGGAUGAGGUUUAACACUUAAAUCAGUAGUCAGAGAAAAGGAGAAUGCCCUCUCCACUCUGGAUGAGCCGCAUCUAAUCCGUUGAAGGCCUGAAUAGAACCAAGGGGCUCUGUCUCCUGUGAAUAAGACGGACUUCUUCCUGCCUGAUGGCCUUCCCCCUGGGACACCACUCUUUCUGGUGCUAUAGCAGCCUGCCACUCUCUGGACCCAGACAAGGACUUCGACUCUGCAGAUUUUGGACUUAGCAGCCUCCACAACUAUGUGAGCCAGUUCCUUAUAGUAAAUAUAGAUAAAGUUAUAGAUAUACAUCUGUAUCUUACUAAUUCUGUUUCUCUGGAAAACCCUGACUAAUACAGCAAGUGAUACCCUAUCAGAGAAAUCCUUGAGUUUUAAGUGUGGGAGUCUUGGGAGAUUGAGAAGAGGACAGAGCAGGUACGUGGGGACUGGCAACAGGCCCUGGUGCACAGCGAGGGGACCAGCCCUUGCUGGUUACAGGCUUCUGCUUACCCUGCCAUGGGAAGGAGCUGGCAGCCACAGGUAGAAUUCAAGUCUACCAGGGAGCCCUGGCUUUGCCCAGGAAAUCCAUACCAACUCCUUGGGGACCCUGAACUCAGCAGCUGGGCCUCUCUCUGUGUUGCGCAUACAUCUAGGAAAGAGACAGCGAGGGGGACUGAAGAGCCAACCCUCUGGGCAGUAAGACGCUGGAUGGGCGACAGGCCCCUGAUGACACACACUCCCACUAACAGCCCGUCCACGUGGAGGAUCCUGCUCAGUUCCAGUGAGGUUAUCUCUUCUGCACAGCACUGCCAAGAAGGAGGUACCACUGUGACCUCCAUCUGGCAAGUGGGGAUACUGAGGCACAAAAGAUGCAGCAAUCCCUCAAGGUCACACGCAGGAAGAGAGGCAGCAAACAAGGAUGUGGAGGUGCCCUAGGAAGACAAAUUCUGAAAUCACCCAGAGACCUAGACGUGUGAGCAGCAGCUUCUCAGACCCCCACCCCCGCUGCUCACCAUCACGCCUAGAUGGCCACGUGAUGACAAUCUGUCGGACAGUUGGCCCUGCCUGCAGUGACACAGGCCUGGUCCCCCACCACUCAGAAGAGACUUGUUUCAUCAGAGGCCACCAGGGAGGUCAGUGUGGGAGGCAGAACCCCAGCCAAAGCACCUGAGCAGGAAACAGCAGGACCCCCUCGAAAAACUGCCAACAAUUUUCAGAAACAGCUUGGACAGACCUGACUAUUUUGGGACAGGCACCCAGGAGCCACCAAUGAGGGCAUUUGGGUGCCCAGACACCAGUGGCCUGAGAAGUGCCCGUGUCACAUGUGCCCAGGAGAGCCUAGCCCCAGCCUCGAGGGGCCUUACAUCAGCCUGUGUUCAGCGUCCAAGCUCAGCCCCAAGCGGGCACACACUGUCUUCUUCAUCCUCUGCUUUAGUGACUUGUUACUCUGCUGGAACAUGUGUGUGAGUCAACAUGUUUUUCUCUAUUCAGAAAUAGACUGAGGCUUCUGUGGGAAUCUGGCAUUGUCAGGAGAGGGGACGCCUGGACUGAGCAGUGUGCCACCCACAGGAAAGUGUGCCCAGCAUCUCUGGGCAUCGAGACUUGGGGCUCUGUCAGUGUCCUUCUCAUUGGCCAGGACCAGGGUCAGGGACAGCGCCCUGGGGUAGCCAGCGCCCGCCUGAGGGGGUUGGUCAUGGGGCCUGUUUCCAGAUGUCCUGUGGGCCCACUGACGAGAAGAGUUGCUGGAUGCCCACGCCAGGUGGGGCUCAAGGCAGACACACAGUCAGGGCUGGUGGCCAGUGAUGUCCCAUGGCCCCACGGCCCCACCUGCGUGCUUGGGAAAAGUAGUAGCUUGGAGAACUGCCCGGCUCCCCGGCUGAGUGAGUCUCCAAGAAUGAGGCGGCGGCAUCCGGGCUGUUCUCCCUCUGGUUCAGGCACCAAGUCCCCAGGCAGCUUCAGCAAGGGGCAUCUCAUGACCACCCCAAGCGACCACCACACAGAGCCCAGCCAGGCUCGGUGUGAGCAACCCAGGAGACAAGGAUGAGAAUGGCCCGGGUCUGUCUUCUGCUUCCACAGAAUUUGCCGUCGGGAGAGUGAAGAGCCUUGUAGGUAAAUGACCCCAGGACUGGGGCCUGGAUGGAGCCCUGUAGGUAAAUGAGCCCAGGGUGGGGCUCAGAGGCCAAAAGGGGAUAGGGAAGUGGAAGUAAAUCCCGGGGGUAGCUGCCAGGGCAGAGAGGCAGCCUCCAGGGACAGUGGGCAGGAAGGGCAGCCUGGAGGAGCAGCAGGCAGGAGGGCGGGUCAGUGUGGGGCGGCCAGGCCUGGGCUGCAGCAGGACGGGCGGCCCGGGCCCAGUGGGGCUCCAGGCCCCGUGGGAGGGCUUCCUCCCGGGGCAGAUCUCUCCCCUCCUGGCUGGGUCUGCUGCUCUGCGAAGGCAGCUGACAGCCAGGGGCCCUGCCUUUCUGGCCCCCAUGCUCCAGCGUGUCACCCAGCCCUGCUGGGCAAUGGGGCCCCAGGAACGGGGUGGCCACCCUAACGCUGGGCUCUGAGGGUGAGCUUCCUUCAGUGGGCAGGGGCUGGUGGCCCUCUGAAACCUGUCCACAGUGGGGUCAGAGGCAGGGCAAAGCACAUUGCACUCCCCUCAGUCUUUCCUGGGGAAAUGCCACAGUGACCUUCAGGGACAGACAGCUGGAGAAAAAGACUGUGGCCGCCCCGUGGAUACAGUGAAGGUCCCUGUGCCCGGGAUUCGCACCUGCCCUGGUCGGCUGGCUCACCACACACCCGUGGGCAGUGCGUUGUUACUGACUUUAUGGAAAGAGCUCCUCCCAGUGCUCUGGGCAGCACAGCUGCAGGAGAGCAGAGGCUGGAGUGUAGGCAGCGCUGAGGACGUUGCCUGAGAGGCUGCGGGGCAGGGAGGCCUGGAGGCAGAGACAGGCUUGCUGCGUGCGGACUCGCUCUGAGUGGACGGGAUUCUUGUGCUUCACCUACCACUGGGAGAAAAAGUUGGGUAUAAACCCUUUCACCCCAAGGAUGUUCCACUGUCAUUUUUCAGUCUCACUGAAUCCAUAGUGAGCAUGCCCGGGGCUGAAGCCCACUGGCAGGACAAGCUCACUGUAAGAGUCCAGGAUUCAUACCGCAGUGUCCUGGGCUCUCUGCCCGGGUCUCCAGAGCCCAGGGAGGCUCCCAAGGCCUUGGCCAAGGCUGGAACCACUGCUGACUGCCUGGCUCACUCUGCCUGGGGAGCAGGGAGGUGCUCAGGGGACCCACGUCCCCCGCACCAUGCCUCCUGGCCUCUGUUUCUGCCUAGACUACAGGGCAGUGGCUCCCAGGACCAUGGCCUGCUGUCAGCUCAGGUCUGCCUACCCAGCAGGGCAGCAUCUGGUCCAGAGUGGGUCUCUCUCUGUGCCAGCUUAGCCAGGCCUUUUCAAUAGAGGGCAAGCAAAAAGAGGAAGGUUAACCAUUGCCCCAUUGCAGGGGUCUCAAGCUGCUUUAUGGACCCACCUGUGCACCAACACAUGACGUGAGUGUGGACACAGACACUGCUGUGACACGUCUACAGUGACCCCACUGCCCGCGUUUCAGGGCCCAUCACUAUCACACCCCUUCUGCCCCCACACUCCCCGCCAGCAAGCAAAGUGAGGGGCCUCAGACACCCUUCAGCCCUGAGGCAGCUGAGAACAGACAGCGACCGGAGGGGUCCCUGCAGGCACAGGAGCGUCCUCAGCCGGGCAACACGCUGGAAGGACGGCGCCAGUUUCCGGAAAUCACCGUAAAAAUACAAGUCCUACACAUUGGACCAGCCAAACCCCUCCCAGCUGCCCCCAAACCCUCUCCUGAUGAACCCCCCUGGGAGGCAGGGGCCACUAUGAGCCUUCGGGCAUUUAUCACCAAGCCUGUUCUCCAUAAAAUCAGGAGAAUAUUUCCCACAGGCAAGAUUCUUCUUUUUUUAUGCAUUUGGCAAGAUUGCAAAAGAACAAAGAUGUGUUUCCAUCGUAAAGGAAAAACAAAUCUAGUCCUUUUUCAAGCUUCAGGUGUGAAUAUGCUUACAUGGAUGAAAGACUUAAUAAAAACCCCUUAAGCAGUGAGACGUGCUGACUCAGCGUGUCUCUGCCGCAUCCACAGUGACCCUUCCUAUUCAGAGAAGGUUUUGAUUGUUAAAAGGAAAAUGAUGUAAAGAGUACCUUUUAUCUGAGUUGGUGAAGAUUGGAACUUAAUUGCUUUUGAACAAAGGUAACUGCACGUAUCUAAAAAUAAAACCAUCGAAACAUUAAAAGGAGACCAGUAAAGAGGUCCAUGCGUUAGGGGAGAAAAAGGUGAAAAAAAACAAAAAAGAAAUGGCAGGGCACUGGGUGGCAUCCCUGGCCUGGCUGACUGCCACUGGACAGGGGCCUCCCCGGCCCAUGGUGUCCUCCAGGGUCCCCGCGUCUGACCCUCUGAUGGCCAUUCAGAGAAGUGGGGGCUCCGACAGAGGAGACAGGGGGUCAGAGAGAGGGAGGCGGCCCCACCCCCGGCUCCGGGCUGCGGCAGAGCAUGCUGGCUCCUUCUGCAGCCUGGGGCACAUCGGGCCACAAGGCUGCCCCUUGUGCACACACACCCUCCACACAAUCCAUUUGGGGUUCCCUGGGAUACACAGAAGAACUCUUGGGGUUCAGGAAGCUGAAUUCCGAGCAUACCCUGGCAGUGCUGGGUGACCGGUAUAAGGAAGCCAGCGACACAUAUUUGCUCCACCCACCCCCAUACACACAGGCUAGGUGUGUCCAGAGAUGUCUGGGUCCCUGGAGAAUACAUAGACUGCCCUGGGGAUGGGGGUGAGAGACUUCCUCUCUCAUUAUACAA